RNAcentral lists this ribosomal RNA (2903 nucleotides) under Klebsiella quasipneumoniae. RNAcentral's name for it is "23S ribosomal RNA". It matches the Rfam family "Bacterial large subunit ribosomal RNA". The record is from RNAcentral. Lineage: Bacteria; Pseudomonadati; Pseudomonadota; Gammaproteobacteria; Enterobacterales; Enterobacteriaceae.
GGUUAAGCGACUAAGCGUACACGGUGGAUGCCCUGGCAGUCAGAGGCGAUGAAGGACGUGCUAAUCUGCGAAAAGCGUCGGUAAGGUGAUAUGAACCGUUAUAACCGGCGAUGUCCGAAUGGGGAAACCCAGUGCAAUUCGUUGCACUAUCGUUAACUGAAUACAUAGGUUAACGAGGCGAACCGGGGGAACUGAAACAUCUAAGUACCCCGAGGAAAAGAAAUCAACCGAGAUUCCCCCAGUAGCGGCGAGCGAACGGGGAGCAGCCCAGAGUCUGAAUCAGCUUGUGUGUUAGUGGAACGGUCUGGAAAGUCCGACGGUACAGGGUGAUAGUCCCGUACACCAAAAUGCACAGGUUGUGAACUCGAAGAGUAGGGCGGGACACGUGGUAUCCUGUCUGAAUAUGGGGGGACCAUCCUCCAAGGCUAAAUACUCCUGACUGACCGAUAGUGAACCAGUACCGUGAGGGAAAGGCGAAAAGAACCCCGGCGAGGGGAGUGAAAAAGAACCUGAAACCGUGUACGUACAAGCAGUGGGAGCACCUUUAUGGUGUGACUGCGUACCUUUUGUAUAAUGGGUCAGCGACUUAUAUUCUGUAGCAAGGUUAACCGUAUAGGGGAGCCGCAGGGAAACCGAGUCUUAACUGGGCGUUAAGUUGCAGGGUAUAGACCCGAAACCCGGUGAUCUAGCCAUGGGCAGGUUGAAGGUUGGGUAACACUAACUGGAGGACCGAACCGACUAAUGUUGAAAAAUUAGCGGAUGACUUGUGGCUGGGGGUGAAAGGCCAAUCAAACCGGGAGAUAGCUGGUUCUCCCCGAAAGCUAUUUAGGUAGCGCCUCGUGAACUCAUCUUCGGGGGUAGAGCACUGUUUCGGCUAGGGGGUCAUCCCGACUUACCAACCCGAUGCAAACUACGAAUACCGAAGAAUGUUAUCACGGGAGACACACGGCGGGUGCUAACGUCCGUCGUGAAGAGGGAAACAACCCAGACCGCCAGCUAAGGUCCCAAAGUCAUGGUUAAGUGGGAAACGAUGUGGGAAGGCACAGACAGCCAGGAUGUUGGCUUAGAAGCAGCCAUCAUUUAAAGAAAGCGUAAUAGCUCACUGGUCGAGUCGGCCUGCGCGGAAGAUGUAACGGGGCUAAACCAUGCACCGAAGCUGCGGCAGCGACACGAUGUGUUGUUGGGUAGGGGAGCGUUCUGUAAGCCUGCGAAGGUGGCCUGUGAGGGUUGCUGGAGGUAUCAGAAGUGCGAAUGCUGACAUAAGUAACGAUAAAGCGGGUGAAAAGCCCGCUCGCCGGAAGACCAAGGGUUCCUGUCCAACGUUAAUCGGGGCAGGGUGAGUCGACCCCUAAGGCGAGGCCGAAAGGCGUAGUCGAUGGGAAACAGGUUAAUAUUCCUGUACUUGGUGUUACUGCGAAGGGGGGACGGAGAAGGCUAUGUUAGCCGGGCGACGGUUGUCCCGGUUUAAGCAUGUAGGCUGGUUAUCCAGGCAAAUCCGGAUAAUCAAGGCUGAGGUGUGAUGACGAGGCACUACGGUGCUGAAGUAACAAAUGCCCUGCUUCCAGGAAAAGCCUCUAAGCAUCAGGUAACAUCAAAUCGUACCCCAAACCGACACAGGUGGUCAGGUAGAGAAUACCAAGGCGCUUGAGAGAACUCGGGUGAAGGAACUAGGCAAAAUGGUGCCGUAACUUCGGGAGAAGGCACGCUGGUGUGUAGGUGAAGCCCCUGCGGGUGGAGCUGAGACCAGUCGAAGAUACCAGCUGGCUGCAACUGUUUAUUAAAAACACAGCACUGUGCAAACACGAAAGUGGACGUAUACGGUGUGACGCCUGCCCGGUGCCGGAAGGUUAAUUGAUGGGGUUAUCCGUAAGGAGAAGCUCUUGAUCGAAGCCCCGGUAAACGGCGGCCGUAACUAUAACGGUCCUAAGGUAGCGAAAUUCCUUGUCGGGUAAGUUCCGACCUGCACGAAUGGCGUAAUGAUGGCCAGGCUGUCUCCACCCGAGACUCAGUGAAAUUGAACUCGCUGUGAAGAUGCAGUGUACCCGCGGCAAGACGGAAAGACCCCGUGAACCUUUACUAUAGCUUGACACUGAACAUUGAGCCUUGAUGUGUAGGAUAGGUGGGAGGCUUUGAAGCGUGGACGCCAGUCUGCGUGGAGCCAACCUUGAAAUACCACCCUUUAAUGUUUGAUGUUCUAACGUGGGCCCCUAAUCGGGGUUGCGGACAGUGUCUGGUGGGUAGUUUGACUGGGGCGGUCUCCUCCCAAAGCGUAACGGAGGAGCACGAAGGUUAGCUAAUCCUGGUCGGACAUCAGGAGGUUAGUGCAAUGGCAUAAGCUAGCUUGACUGCGAGCGUGACGGCGCGAGCAGGUGCGAAAGCAGGUCAUAGUGAUCCGGUGGUUCUGAAUGGAAGGGCCAUCGCUCAACGGAUAAAAGGUACUCCGGGGAUAACAGGCUGAUACCGCCCAAGAGUUCAUAUCGACGGCGGUGUUUGGCACCUCGAUGUCGGCUCAUCACAUCCUGGGGCUGAAGUAGGUCCCAAGGGUAUGGCUGUUCGCCAUUUAAAGUGGUACGCGAGCUGGGUUUAGAACGUCGUGAGACAGUUCGGUCCCUAUCUGCCGUGGGCGCUGGAGAAUUGAGGGGGGCUGCUCCUAGUACGAGAGGACCGGAGUGGACGCAUCACUGGUGUUCGGGUUGUCAUGCCAAUGGCACUGCCCGGUAGCUAAAUGCGGAAGAGAUAAGUGCUGAAAGCAUCUAAGCACGAAACUUGCCCCGAGAUGAGUUCUCCCUGAGACUAUAAGUCUCCUGAAGGAACGUUGAAGACGACGACGUUGAUAGGCCGGGUGUGUAAGCGCAGCGAUGCGUUGAGCUAACCGGUACUAAUGAACCGUGAGGCUUAACCUU